CUCAGGUGGUGCUUCAGUUGAGUUCACCGCUUCAAGCCGCACUCCUCCUCUUCUCGCUCUGACAGUAGCUUCGAGUGCGUAUCUUGCUCUUCCAUAGUCGUCAAUCUUGGUAUGUGGCAUCAGCAAACAGUCCUGGUCUAUUGAUUCCGAAGCUGAUGAGAUCAAGAAUGAGAAUUUGUCUCAAGUGAAAAAGACAAGUAAACUGGUCGUCUCUGUGGCAUCCCGGGGGAGGGUCAGGAGACAGAGCAAAUGGUUUCUCCACGAAUUCCGUCGCGUUGCAGGAAUCUGAGUGCGCACCUCUUGUGCGCAUGAUCAGCUGUGCAACCCCUCCCCUAAACUUAAAAGGGUAAUUUAGUCUUUUGUCAUUAAUUAUUAGUUCCUAAUACUAUUUUAAUUAGAUUGGUUCUCUCAGAUCCAGAUCCAAGCCCGUAAGACCCAAGUAUUCUAUACGUACGUGGGUACCUGGAUUGAUCUAACCCUCCUCACACAAGGAGAGGUCGGCGAAGCCUGGGAGCUGGCCAUGGAUAACAGGAUGCCAAACCAGAGCUUCAUUCCGUCGGCAAGAGAGCCACCGGCUCAAAGAUUCGUGUCAUCGGCAAGGCCACUUCGCGAGACUGCAGCAUGGUGAGGUUUUCGUAAGUCACCUCACAGAUCAUACAUGGAGGGAGGAGCUAUGGUGAUGAUAAAGCGUAGGAGCCCCAUCCGUGUUCUUCGGCCAGGCUCCCAAUCCCUCCUCCGACGCCUGCUUUUCUCUCUCGAUAGUGCUGCCAAGGUCACCGUGGCCGCGGUGACGGCAAGCUUGAGGAAGAUCAUGAGCGCGUAUGCUCAAACUCGAUGCUCUCGCUUGCACACCUCCUGCAGGCUGCCGGGAUAGCUGCGGCCGCAUACCCUCCUCCUCCCUGCCGGCCAUGAUGCUCUGCUUUGAGCAAUGCUCGUGGCCUAGGUGAAGUACGGCUAAGCCCGUCAGUUCCGCCGUGCCGGCAACCUCUCCUGCCUGUGACGACAUACAUGGCCUUGCCACCACUACCCGCCGACGAGGGAUAUCGCGCUUGUGCCGGGCAACACACCUCGCUGUCGACCAGGACGAGCCACCGUGAACCGUGAGUGACAAGUACAGACCCACCACGGAUGAUUACGUGUGAGGUUCUGUUCUGUACAUAUUCAAUUGAGCCGAAUGGGUAUAUACAGGGCCAAAUACAACUUAAGUAAUCGUUAAUAGUUUAUUAAGUACCAUCAUACCCUCAAUUGUGAAGGGGUACGGAACAAUCUGAGCCGUUGUUCUGUUUAAGUUUGAAGGAGGGGGGAGCACUGAAGCAAAAGUGCUUCCUGCCCAGGAAGCAAAGUAGAAGGGCAUUUAUCGGCAUUUUCAGUUCAGUCAUAGGCCUCCCAGCUUGCUAUCAAAUCAAGGCAAUGACCGCGUGACAAAUAUGAGUCUGUUUCUGGAAUUUGCACAGCUGCAUCCAAGUUUUCCACCUCAACUAAGCAUAAAAUACGACAUAAAUAAUCUAAACUGCAGGUAAUGAAGAAAAAACAGAGCUCUACUGCACAGCAGUAAGAAUCUCA
Non-coding RNA from Lolium perenne, 1563 nucleotides. The record is from RefSeq and is a predicted model, not a curated record. NCBI's taxonomy places the organism in Eukaryota, Viridiplantae, Streptophyta, Magnoliopsida, Poales, Poaceae.